Molecule: ribosomal RNA, 545 nt
Filed under: uncultured bacterium
Lineage: Bacteria
Description: bacterial SSU rRNA
Rfam family: Bacterial small subunit ribosomal RNA
Source: RNAcentral
UAAAGUGGCGCACGGGUGAGUAACGCGUGGGUAAUCUACCCUCGAAUUGGGGAUAACAUCGCGAAAGUGAUGCUAAUACCGAAUGACAUUUUGAAAACAUAUGUUUCCAAGAUCAAAGGUGGCCUCUACAUGUAAGCUAUUGUUUGGGGAUGAGCCCGCGUACCAUUAGCUUGUUGGUAGGGUAAUGGCCUACCAAGGCUACGAUGGUUAGCUGGUCUGAGAGGAUGAUCAGCCACACUGGAACUGACACACGGUCCAGACUCCUACGGGAGGCAGCAGUGAGGAAUUUUGCGCAAUGGGGGAAACCCUGACGCAGCAACGCCGCGUGAGUGAUGAAGGCUUUCGGGUCGUAAAGCUCUGUCAAGUGGGAAGAACCCAUAUGGUGUUAAUACCGCCAUAUGCUGACGGUACCACUGAAGGAAGCACCGGCUAACUCCGUGCCAGCAGCCGCGGUAAUACGGGGGGUGCGAGCGUUAUUCGGAAUUACUGGGCGUAAAGAGCGCGUAGGCGGGUCUUUUANGUCAGGUGUGAAAGCCCGGGGCUCA